AGGACAUUAUCGAGUUUUGAAUGGGUUGUCUGCUGGCUCGCAAGGGCAUGUGCACGCCUGUCUCAUCCACUCUCAACUUCUGUGCACUUUUCAUAGGCCGGCUUGUGGGUGCGUUCGCGCACUUGUAGGUGUCGGGCUUAUGCUUUACUACAAACGAUUCAGUUUUAGAAUGUCAUACUUUGCUAUAACGCAAUUAUAUACAACUUUCAGCAACGGAUCUCUUGGCUCUCGCAUCGAUGAAGAACGCAGCGAAAUGCGAUAAGUAAUGUGAAUUGCAGAAUUCAGUGAAUCAUCGAAUCUUUGAACGCACCUUGCGCUCCUUGGUAUUCCGAGGAGCAUGCCUGUUUGAGUCUCAUGGAAUUCUCAACCUUCAGCUUUAUUGAUGAAGGCUUGGACUUGGAGGUCGUGCCGGCUCUCGUAGUCGGCUCCUCUGAAAUGCAUUAGUGCGAACGUUACCAGCCGCUUCAGCGUGAUAAUUAUCUGCGUUGCUGUGGAGGGUAUUCUAGUGUUCACGCUUCUAACCGUCUUCGGACAAAUUUCUGAACUCUGAGCUCAAAUCAGGUAGGACUACCCGCUGAACUUAAGCAUAU
RNAcentral lists this ribosomal RNA (590 nucleotides) under Bjerkandera adusta. Its description in RNAcentral is "eukaryotic LSU rRNA". The stretch from base 202 to 355 matches the Rfam family "5.8S ribosomal RNA". The record is from RNAcentral. Lineage: Eukaryota; Fungi; Basidiomycota; Agaricomycetes; Polyporales; Phanerochaetaceae.